AGCUCCAAUAGCGUAUAUUAAAGUUGUUGCAGUUAAAAAGCUCGUAGUUGGAUUUCUGGCAGAGAGACUAUGCCCGCACGUAGCGUGUGCAGAGGCUCUCUACCAUCCUUCUGUUAACCCUUCUAGUCAUUGACUUGACUGUUGGGAGCCCAGAUAUUUUACCUUGAGAAAAUUAGAGUGUUUCAGGCAGGCUAGCGCGUGGAUACAUUAGCAUGGAAUAAUGGAAUAGGACUUUUACCUCUUCUGUUGGUCUGAGGGGUUAAAGUAAUGAUUAAUAGGGAUAGUUGGGGGCAUUAGUACUUAACUGUCAGAGGUGAAAUUCUUGGAUUUGUUAAAGACUAACUUAUGCGAAAGCAUUUGCCAAAGAUGUUUUCA
This 375-nucleotide ribosomal RNA is filed under the name uncultured eukaryote. Its description in RNAcentral is "SSU rRNA". It matches the Rfam family "Eukaryotic small subunit ribosomal RNA", at positions 587 to 972 of the family's 1831-position model. The record is from RNAcentral.